AUACGUAGGGUGCAAGCGUUAAUCGGAAUUACUGGGCGUAAAGCGUGCGCAGGCGGUUUUGUAAGACAGAGGGGAAAUCCCCGGGCUCAACCUGGGAACUGCCUUUGUGACUGCAAGGCUGGAGUGCGGCAGAGGGGGAUGGAAUUCCGCGUGUAGCAGUGAAAUGCGUAGAUAUGCGGAGGAACACCGAUGGCGAAGGCAAUCCCCUGGGCCUGCACUGACGCUCAUGCACGAAAGCGUGAGGAGCAAACAGGAUUAGAUACCCUGGUAGUCCACGCCCUAAACGAUGUCAACUGGUUGUUGGGGAUUUAUUUUCUCAGUAACGAAGCUAACGCGUGAAGUUGACCGCCUGGGGAGUACGGCCGCAAGGUUAAAACUCAAAGGAAUUGACGGGG
Molecule: ribosomal RNA, 395 nt
Filed under: uncultured bacterium
Lineage: Bacteria
Description: partial 16S ribosomal RNA
Rfam family: Bacterial small subunit ribosomal RNA
Source: RNAcentral